RNAcentral lists this ribosomal RNA (1235 nucleotides) under metagenome. Its description in RNAcentral is "bacterial LSU rRNA". It matches the Rfam family "Bacterial large subunit ribosomal RNA", at positions 1564 to 2808 of the family's 2925-position model. The record is from RNAcentral.
UGAUGACGAGACGCUAAGGCGUUGAAGCAGUGUAUGUCAGACUUCCAAGAAAAGCUCGCAAUGUCACAAAUGAAAAAUGCCUGUACCAUAACCGACACAGGUGGGUAGGUAGAGUAUACUAAGGGGCGCGAGAUAACUCUCUCUAAGGAACUCGGCAAAAUGACUCCGUAACUUCGGGAGAAGGAGUGCCUUAUUUAUAAGGUUGCAAUAACAAGAUCCAAGCAACUGUUUAUCAAAAACACAGGUCUCCGCUAAGUCGUAAGACGAUGUAUGGGGGCUGACGCCUGCCCAGUGCCAGAAGGUUAAAGAAGUUGGUUAGUGUAUGCGAAGCUGAUGACUGAAGCCCUGGUGAACGGCGGCCGUAACAAUAACGGUCCUAAGGUAGCGAAAUUCCUUGUCGGGUAAGUUCCGACCCGCACGAAAGGCGUAAUGAUUUGGAUACUGUCUCGGAGAGAGGCUCGGUGAAAUAGACUUGUCUGUGAAGAUGCGGACUACCUGCACCAGGACAGAAAGACCCUAUGAAGCUUUACUGUAACUUGAAAUUGGAAUUGGACUUUGCUUGCGCAGUAUAGGUGGGAAGCGUUGAAAAUAUUCUUGCGGGAGUAUUGGAGCUAUCAGUGAGAUACCACUCUUGUAAUGUUAGAUCUCUAACUUUGAACCAUAAUCUGGUCAAAGAACAGUUUCAGGUGGGCAGUUUGACUGGGGCGGUCGCCUUCCAAAUGGUAACGGAGGCGUACAAAGGUUUCCUCUGAACGGAUAGAAAUCGUAUCUAGAGUGUAAAGGCAUAAGGAAGCUUGACUGUGAGACCUACAAGUCUAGCAGGGACGAAAGUCGGUCUUAGUGAUCUGACGGUACUGAGUGGAAAGGCCGUCACUCAGCGGAUAAAAGUUACUCUAAGGAUAACAGGCUGAUCUCCCCCAAGAGUUCACAUCGACGGGGAGGUUUGGCACCUCGAUGUCGGCUCAUCGCAUCCUGGGGCGGUAGUACGUCCCAAGGGUUGGGCUGUUCGCCCAUGAAAGCGGUACGCGAGCUGGGUUCAGAACGUCGUGAGACAGUUCGGUCCAUAUCCGGUGUAGGCGCUAGAAUAUUGAGAGGAGCCUUCUUUAGUACGAGAGGACCGAGAAGGACACACCGCUGGUGUACCAGUUAUCGUGCCAACGGUAAACGCUGGGUAGCUAUGUGUGGAGUGGAUAACCGCUGAAAGCAUCUAAGUGGGAAGCCCACCUCGAGAUGAG